AUUGAACGCUGGCGGCAGGCCUAACACAUGCAAGUCGAGCGGAUGAAGGGAGCUUGCUCCUGGAAUCAGCGGCGGACGGGUGAGUAAUGCCUAGGAAUCUGCCUGGUAGUGGGGGAUAACGUCCGGAAACGGGCGCUAAUACCGCAUACGUCCUGAGGGAGAAAGUGGGGGAUCUUCGGACCUCACGCUAUCAGAUGAGCCUAGGUCGGAUUAGCUAGUUGGUGGGGUAAAGGCCUACCAAGGCGACGAUCCGUAACUGGUCUGAGAGGAUGAUCAGUCACACUGGAACUGAGACACGGUCCAGACUCCUACGGGAGGCAGAAGUGGGGAAUAUUGGACAAUGGGCGAAAGCCUGAUCCAGCACUGCCGCGUGUGUGAAGAAGGUCUUCGGAUUUUAAAGCACUUUAAGUUGGGAGGAAGGGCAGUAAGUUAAUACCUUGCUGUUUUGACGUUACCAAAAGAAUAAGCACCGGCUAACUUCGUG
Molecule: ribosomal RNA, 484 nt
Filed under: uncultured bacterium
Lineage: Bacteria
Description: partial 16S ribosomal RNA
Rfam family: Bacterial small subunit ribosomal RNA
Source: RNAcentral